UUUCUGACCUCAAAAUUUGUGAGACCCGAGAGAGACCCAAUUCUCAUACCUUUUUUCCCCUUCUCCUUCUCGUCUCUCUCUUCCCUUCGCCCUAGCCGCACUCCCGUAAUCACCAUCAUCCUCAGCUCCGACCACCUAACCACCAUCCUCACACCCGUUUUUCUCCGAGCCAAGCUCCAAAUCUCAGGCACCCGUGAACCCAACCCCCGAACCAAGUGACCCCAGGUGCGAGCCCACCUCUGCGUGCCUUCGACCCAGUGCGAGCCCACCAUUGAUGAAGUUGAAAGGCGGCUUUCUUGGACCACUGGUCGUGCAACCGAUGCACUUGAUACUUUGCUAGAUGAAGGUCUUGCAAUGAUUGAUGACGGCCAUAGAGAUGGUAGACGCUGAUAUUGGUUCCCCUGCGUUUCUCCUAUUGCAUCAUCACUUGGAGUCGAUUCUUAACAGGGUUGAGGAUGUGUGGAGGUCUCAAUCCUGAAGUGG
This is a long non-coding RNA of Humulus lupulus (European hop), 483 nucleotides long. RefSeq lists it as uncharacterized. Lineage: Eukaryota; Viridiplantae; Streptophyta; Magnoliopsida; Rosales; Cannabaceae. The record is from RefSeq and is a predicted model, not a curated record. The transcript is spliced from 3 exons.